RNAcentral lists this ribosomal RNA (435 nucleotides) under uncultured bacterium. Its description in RNAcentral is "partial 16S ribosomal RNA". It matches the Rfam family "Bacterial small subunit ribosomal RNA", at positions 29 to 507 of the family's 1533-position model. The record is from RNAcentral.
AGCGAACGCUGGCGGCAGGCUUAACGCAUGCAAGUCGAACGGGCAUAGCAAUAUGUCAGUGGCAGACGGGUGAGUAACGCGUGGGAACGUACCUUUUGGUUCGGAACAACACAGGGAAACUUGUGCUAAUACCGGAUAAGCCCUUACGGGGAAAGAUUUAUCGCCGAAAGAUCGGCCCGCGUCUGAUUAGCUAGUUGGUAGGGUAAUGGCCUACCAAGGCGACGAUCAGUAGCUGCGCUGAGAGGAUGAUCAGCCACAUUGGGACUGAGACACGGCCCAAACUCCUACGGGAGGCAGCAGUGGGGAAUAUUGGACAAUGGGCGAAAGGCUGAUCCAGCCAUGCCGCGUGAGUGAUGAAGGCCCUAGGGUUGUAAAGCUCUUUUGUGCGGGAAGAUAAUGACGGUACCGCAAGAAUAAGCCCCGGCUAACUUCGUG